This is a long non-coding RNA of Scophthalmus maximus (turbot), 530 nucleotides long. RefSeq lists it as uncharacterized. The record is from RefSeq and is a predicted model, not a curated record. The transcript is spliced from 2 exons. Lineage: Eukaryota; Metazoa; Chordata; Actinopteri; Pleuronectiformes; Scophthalmidae.
GUGCACGCUACCAUGGCAACAGAAGCCAGGCAAGGUACAUAACAUUGAAGUUCGCACUGGUAAGAAGCUAACACAGAAUACUGUCGACAUUGCUAGACUAUAACACGUUUUUUUAGUUACCGUUGCCCCACAUCAUUACCUGUGACUUUUUGUGAAAACAACAUCGUCAGUGUUUUUGAAGGACGACUGACGCUUUUUAUCUAUAGUUUAUAACAUUAUUACAGCUUUGAGACUGGUACACUGGACUCUGAUGAGGAAGUAAACACGGCUGCUUCGGCAAGCAGUCGAGCGAGGAGAAGAGGGAGUCGCCUACGAGGUGCACCGGGCAGGGGCCGUGGGAGACGGGGCAGAGGUCGGCGCGUCGGCCCGACACCCAACAACCUGGGAGACGAAGACAUAGCUGAUUUUCAUGCGAUGAGCCAGUUGGUACCUGCUGCUUGCACUGGUUUCAUCCCAAGGAGGGGGUGUAGUUUCAGUUGCCUUUGCUAGAUGUAAAUAGUGUGCUGUGUAAUAAAAUUGUUUUCAUUUCA